Molecule: ribosomal RNA, 253 nt
Filed under: uncultured bacterium
Lineage: Bacteria
Description: partial 16S ribosomal RNA
Rfam family: Bacterial small subunit ribosomal RNA
Source: RNAcentral
UACGUAGGGUGCGAGCGUUGUCCGGAAUUACUGGGCGUAAAGAGCUCGUAGGUGGUUUGUCGCGUUGUCCGUGAAAACUCACAACUCAAUUGUGGGCGUGCGGGCGAUACGGGCAGACUGGAGUACUGCAGGGGAGACUGGAAUUCCUGGUGUAGCGGUGGAAUGCGCAGAUAUCAGGAGGAACACCGGUGGCGAAGGCGGGUCUCUGGGCAGUAACUGACGCUGAGAGACGAAAGCUAGGGGAGCGAAUGGG